AUUGAACGCUGGCGGCAUGCCUUACACAUGCAAGUCGAACGGCAGCACGGGAGCAAUCCUGGUGGCGAGUGGCGAACGGGUGAGUAAUAUAUCGGAACGUGCCCAGUCGUGGGGAUAACGUAGCGAAAGCUACGCUAAUACCGCAUACGAUCUAUGGAUGAAAGCGGGGGAUCGCAAGACCUCGCGCGAUUGGAGCGGCCGAUAUCAGAUUAGGUAGUUGGUGAGGUAAAGGCUCACCAAGCCGACGAUCUGUAGCUGGUCUGAGAGGACGACCAGCCACACUGGGACUGAGACACGGCCCAGACUCCUACGGGAGGCAGCAGUGGGGGAAUUUUGGACAAUGGGCGCAAGCCUGAUCCAGCAAUGCCGCGUGCAGGAUGAAG
Molecule: ribosomal RNA, 383 nt
Filed under: uncultured bacterium
Lineage: Bacteria
Description: bacterial SSU rRNA
Rfam family: Bacterial small subunit ribosomal RNA
Source: RNAcentral